RNAcentral lists this ribosomal RNA (255 nucleotides) under uncultured bacterium. Its description in RNAcentral is "partial 16S ribosomal RNA". It matches the Rfam family "Bacterial small subunit ribosomal RNA", at positions 524 to 776 of the family's 1533-position model. The record is from RNAcentral.
UACGGGGGGAGCAAGCGUUGUUCGGAUUUACUGGGCGUAAAGGGCGCGUAGGCGGUCAGCACAAGUCAGUUGUGAAAUCUCCGGGCUUAACUCGGAAAGGUCAACUGAUACUGUGCGACUAGAGUGCAGAAGGGGCAACUGGGAAUUCUCGGUGUAGCGGUGAAAUGCGUAGAUAUCGAGAGGAACACCUGCGGCGAAGGCGGGUUGCUGGGCUGACACUGACGCUGAUGCGCGAAAGCCAGGGGAGCGAACGGG